This 753-nucleotide ribosomal RNA is filed under the name Weissella hellenica. RNAcentral's name for it is "bacterial SSU rRNA". It matches the Rfam family "Bacterial small subunit ribosomal RNA", at positions 51 to 760 of the family's 1533-position model. Lineage: Bacteria; Bacillati; Bacillota; Bacilli; Lactobacillales; Lactobacillaceae. The record is from RNAcentral.
AUACAUGCAAGUCGAACGCUUUGUGCUUAAUUGAUAUGACGAGCUUGCUCUGAUUUGAUUUUUUGAUUUCAAAGAGUGGCGAACGGGUGAGUAACACGUGGGUAACCUACCUCUUAGCAGGGGAUAACAUUUGGAAACAAGUGCUAAUACCGUAUAAUAUCAACAACCGCAUGGUUGUUGAUUGAAAGAUGGUUCUGCUAUCACUAAGAGAUGGACCCGCGGUGCAUUAGCUAGUUGGUAAGGUAAUGGCUUACCAAGGCAAUGAUGCAUAGCCGAGUUGAGAGACUGAUCGGCCACAAUGGGACUGAGACACGGCCCAUACUCCUACGGGAGGCAGCAGUAGGGAAUCUUCCACAAUGGGCGCAAGCCUGAUGGAGCAACGCCGCGUGUGUGAUGAAGGGUUUCGGCUCGUAAAACACUGUUAUAAGAGAAGAACGGCACUGAGAGUAACUGUUCAGUGUGUGACGGUAUCUUACCAGAAAGGAACGGCUAAAUACGUGCCAGCAGCCGCGGUAAUACGUAUGUUCCAAGCGUUAUCCGGAUUUAUUGGGCGUAAAGCGAGCGCAGACGGUUAUUUAAGUCUGAAGUGAAAGCCCUCAGCUCAACUGAGGAAUUGCUUUGGAAACUGGAUGACUUGAGUGCAGUAGAGGAAAGUGGAACUCCAUGUGUAGCGGUGAAAUGCGUAGAUAUAUGGAAGAACACCAGUGGCGAAGGCGGCUUUCUGGACUGUAACUGACGUUGAGGCUCGAAAGU